Molecule: ribosomal RNA, 253 nt
Filed under: uncultured bacterium
Lineage: Bacteria
Description: partial 16S ribosomal RNA
Rfam family: Bacterial small subunit ribosomal RNA
Source: RNAcentral
UACGGAGGGUCCAAGCGUUACUCGGAAUUACUGGGCGUAAAGCGCAUGUAGGCGGCUCGCUAAGUUUGGUGUGAAAGCCCGGAACUCAAUUCCGGAAGUGCAUCGAAUACUGGCGAGCUAGAGUAUAGGAGAGGUGAGUGGAAUUUCUGGUGUAGAGGUGAAAUUCGUAGAUAUCAGAAGGAACAACAGAGGCGAAGGCGACUCACUGGACUAUAACUGACGCUGAGAUGCGAAAGCGUGGGGAGCAAACAGG